This 551-nucleotide ribosomal RNA is filed under the name uncultured bacterium. RNAcentral describes it as "partial 16S ribosomal RNA". It matches the Rfam family "Bacterial small subunit ribosomal RNA", at positions 355 to 895 of the family's 1533-position model. The record is from RNAcentral.
UGGGGAAUUUUGGACAAUGGGCGCAAGCCUGAUCCAGCCAUGCCGCGUGCGGGAAGAAGGCCUUCGGGUUGUAAACCGCUUUUGUCAGGGAAGAAAUCUUCUGAGUUAAUACCUCGGGAGGAUGACGGUACCUGAAGAAUAAGCACCGGCUAACUACGUGCCAGCAGCCGCGGUAAUACGUAGGGUGCAAGCGUUAAUCGGAAUUACUGGGCGUAAAGCGUGCGCAGGCGGUUUUGUAAGACAGAGGUGAAAUCCCCGGGCUCAACCUGGGAACUGCCUUUGUGACUGCAAGGCUUGAGCGCGGCAGAGGGGGAUGGAAUUCCGCGUGUAGCAGUGAAAUGCGUAGAUAUGCGGAGGAAACACCGAUGGCGAAGGCAAUCCCCUGGGCCUGCACUGACGCUCAUGCACGAAAGCGUGGGGAGCAAAACAGGAUUAGAUAGCCCUGGUAGUCCACGCCCUAAAACGAUGUCAACUGGUUGUUGGGAAGGUUCCUUCUCAGUAACGUAGCUAACGCGUGAAGUUGACCGCCUGGGGAGUACGGCCGCAAGGUU